RNAcentral lists this long non-coding RNA (260 nucleotides) under Brassica rapa (field mustard). Its description in RNAcentral is "long non-coding RNA (BRAP_LNC000243)". Lineage: Eukaryota; Viridiplantae; Streptophyta; Magnoliopsida; Brassicales; Brassicaceae. The record is from RNAcentral.
UUUAAUUUGAUAACUCUUUUUCUUCUAGUUUAAGUAAAGGAAGAUUAGCAUAAGGGGUAGUACUGUAAAUAACAAGAUGAUAAGAGGAAAGAUGUGUCACCUGAUGGUUUGAGAUGGUAAUCUAUAGCCACGUGUCACCAAUAAAGCGGCUAUCUACAAAUGCCUUGAGACGAUAGAAACGACACCGUUCAAAACCGAUCCAAUGAGUGGAGGGAUAAGUUUAGGCAACUUGACUUUCUAAAUAUUUAUAUUCUCAUAUC